RNA transcript from Anguilla rostrata (American eel), 7386 nucleotides. It is a transcript of the gene named CUGBP Elav-like family member 6, with no coding region annotated. The record is from RefSeq and is a predicted model, not a curated record. NCBI's taxonomy places the organism in Eukaryota, Metazoa, Chordata, Actinopteri, Anguilliformes, Anguillidae. The transcript has 14 exons.
GACACGGGGAGAAAGAAACAGAUUGAGUACGAGAGAAGCAAUGAAAAUAUAUAAAAGAUAAAUAAGGCGAAAUCAAAAGAAUAGGACGGAGAGAGGGGAGGGAGAGUUUGUGAGGGAGAGCGAGUGAGAGAGAAGAGCAACGUGAGAGGAAGAGAGAAAGGAGUAGAGAAGGGAGAGCUUGAGCUUGAGCUUGUGCGCGUGAGAUAGAGGGACAGACGAGAGAGAGAGAAAGAGAGAGCGAGAGAGAGAGAGAGAGAGAGAGAGAGAGAGAGAGAGCAGUCGGGCCCAUUGAAGAAAGAUGGCUACAGUCACUGCGAACGGAGUGCAGCAAGAGAAUGGAUUCAGCACCACGAACAGCGCCGGCAGGAUGAACGGGCUCACAAUCGGACAGAACACCAUUCCCAUGAAGGACCACGACGCCAUCAAACUGUUUAUCGGACAAAUACCGAGAAACCUCGAGGAGAAAGAUCUGAAGCCCUUGUUUGAGGAAUUCGGGAAGAUAUACGAACUCACCGUGUUGAAAGACAGGUUUACAGGAAUGCAUAAAGGAUGUGCCUUUCUAACAUACUGUGCCAGAGAAUCAGCACUGAAGGCCCAGAGUGCGCUGCACGAACAGAAGACCCUGCCAGGGAUGAACCGGCCUAUCCAGGUGAAGCCAGCCGACAGCGAAGGACGAGGAGAAGACAGGAAGCUGUUUGUGGGCAUGCUGGGAAAGCAGCAGAGUGAGGAAGAUGUGCGGCGGCUGUUCGAGGCCUUCGGCCAGAUCGAGGAGUGCACCAUCCUGAGAGGGCCUGAUGGGGCCAGUAAGGGCUGCGCCUUCGUUAAGUUCUCCAGCCACGCGGAGGCACAGGCGGCCAUCAACACCUUGCACGGCGGACAGACCAUGCCGGGGGCCUCGUCGAGCCUGGUGGUGAAGUUCGCGGACACGGACAAAGAGAGGACCCUGCGCCGGAUGCACCAGAUGGCCGGCCAGCUCGGGAUCUUCAGCCCCAUGACCAUCCAGUUUGGAGCCUACGGAGCGUACACACACGCUCAAAUGAUGCAACAGCAAGCGGCCAUCAUGGCCGCCUCCCAGGGCUCCUACCUGAACCCCAUGGCGGCGAUCGCCGCCGCACAGAUGCAGCACAUGGCGGCUUUCAACGUCAACGGCCUCGUGGCUGCCCCCAUGACACCCUCCUCAGGCACCAGCACACCCCCGGGCAUCAGCGCGGCGGCCGUGCCUAGCAUAGCCACUCCCAUCGGGGUCAACGGCUUCAGCGCCCUCCCGCCCCAGAGCAACGGCCCGCCCACCUCCGAGGCCAUCUACACCAAUGGGAUUCACCCUUACCCAGCACAAAGCCCUACAGUUGCAGAUCCUCUCCAGCAGGCUUAUGCUGGCGUGCAGCAUUAUGCAGCAGCCUACCCCGCCGCCUAUGCGCCAAUCAGCCAAGCGUUUCCGCAGCAACCAGCCAUCAUUCCCCAGCAACAGAGAGAAGGGCCAGAAGGCUGCAACCUCUUUAUUUACCAUCUCCCGCAGGAGUUUGGAGACGCCGAGCUCAUGCAAAUGUUUCUGCCUUUUGGCAACGUCAUCUCUGCCAAAGUGUUUGUGGACCGGGCAACCAAUCAGAGCAAAUGUUUUGGCUUUGUCAGCUUUGACAAUCCCUCCAGUGCUCAGGCUGCCAUUCAAGCCAUGAACGGCUUCCAGAUCGGCAUGAAGAGGCUGAAGGUGCAGCUCAAGCGGCCAAAGGAUGCCAACCGACCUUACUGACCCUUCUGCCAUCCACACCAGGCAGGGCCAAUCAUAGCUCAAGAUGGGCUUCCCAUGGUCUAACCACCCUACCAGUCAUGGGUGACAUACUCCCAGACCUGAUGAAGGACCUCGAAAAAUAUUUCCACAAGUGCAGUAUAAGUAAAAAAGACUUUGUGCUCUGCUACAUAUCAUGAAGGAAGGGUGGUCGCUUGAUUAUUCGGGGAAGAAACCGAAAGAUUCGGCAACCGAGAUGUGGUUUUUCCAAACGUGCAUUUUUUUCCCCUGCCAAUCGUCCCUGUUUUGCAUUGGCAUUUCAGACAGAGGAUUUUGCCAAGACCAAGUUUUUGCUGCUGUUUCUUUUUUUUUUUCUUUUUUUUUUUUGGAAACAAAACGGAAAACCUUUAUAGAUACAUUAUGCUCAAAAGCAUGCAUAUGCAUACUGGCACAUAAAAAAACAAACACACACACAUACAUACAAAAACUAAAACACACCCACACACACACACACACACACCAGUACACACACAAGCACAGACAUGCAGAAACGCUCACACGUACACACGCCAGACCGCUGGCUUUUUAUUUUUGUGCCUACACUGGUGUUUUCGAUAUCUCCGGCUGCACAGCUGACAGGGAGAGCUCUGGAAGACAGGAACAAAGAGGAGAGGUGGAGAAUCCAGGAUUAUUUACCCGCAUCAUUCCUUAGGAAAUAGGGACCAAAGGACCAAACGCUUUUUAAAAGAAUAUAUAUUUAAAAAAAGAAAAAAAAACUCUUACCUUGUAGCUGCAAGUAUUACAAUUUAAUAGUAGUCAAAGUAAAGGAACCAUGAAAUCAAUGUCCAGUGGCCUAAGAAUGGAUGUGAAAUUUAAAAAAAGAUAAAAUAAAAAAGAUUUAAUAUGAAAAGUAAGGGGGGGGGUGCUGAAAAUGAUCUGGUAGCUGUUUUCUGUACCAGGUAGUUUAGAGAAGUAGCUUAGAAAACUAGAUUUUUUAAAAAUCAAAAGAUAUAAACUUUGUCAAGGAAGGAGAGAAAAGAUGGGGAACAAUAGUUUUGUCUGUCCUGGUGCAUCAUGGGACAUUAAUGAGAGGCCACUGGAUAUCUGUCUCAUUAUGAUGUACAUUUCAUCGCAACUAUCUGAGAGUUGCAAAUGGAGGGAAAACAAGACUGAAGACAUUUCAGUAUGCCUGUGCUGGGCAAGGUGCAGAUUUUUGUGGCUUCCCAUAAGCCUUUGUGUUCAAGCGACAAUCUACUGAGAAGACCAAGCAAAAUAGAGAAGGGUUUAUCUAUGGGUUUAUCUAUUUUUUUGUACCACAACAGGGAACUUGCUUGAAAGUCUUGAAACUUAUUGAAAACAGAAAAGGGUUCCACAACUGAGGCAACGGAUGCUGAAGAGAAAGACAUGAGUGAGUGAGGCGCUUGAUAGCUACUGAAACUGCCAUAAGAGCGGACUUGGCGAGAUUCCAGAAAGAAUUGGCUGCUCUGGCGUUCGUGAAACUCCUGGCUGAGCAAAGUGAAAGCAGGAUGUUUGGGUGAGGGGAAAGGCGCGGAUGUUUAUAUCAGCUGAAAUCCAUUCCAGGUCCAUCAAGUUGCUAUAAAACGGCACAAAAUCGAUGCUUGUUUCUCCUGCAGAUAUGUCCAGGUCUAGCUGCGAAGGCAAAUGUUUUAUAUAUGACCAAAAAUAAGCAUAAAUUGCCCUGUCCUGUAUAUGAAAACGGAGGAAGCUCACAAACAGUGUUGGCUGACAAGAAAAAAGUUUGAAGCGUGAAAGCUUUUAGAGCUAAUUCAGCUUUGUCAUUAUGUUAUGCAAAUGGUAUUAUGAAGAUGUUCCCUGACCUGCUUUCUUCACACUUUAUGUAACGAGCCUAUGGAAAAAAGCACUUCCAUCACGACAAGAUGUUGAUUUAAUUUGAGCCUCUCACUAAAUCUAGGCCAUUCCACAGCUGAAAGGUAGGAAACGGUUCUGCUCCACCAUCCAUCCCGUUCAGAACACAGCAGUCGAUCCCCCGAAAUGUUCACUAGAGUUGAGCUAAUGUCUUUGAACCUGAGGAAGUCUGAUUGGUAUCAUUAGCUUGGGAUGGAUUUGAGCUGUCUCAGGUGCCAAAUUUGCCAUUUUAUUUUGCGACAAGCUUGGAGGGGGGUGGCUGGGUGGGGAGAGGAACAGCUCUUCUGUCAUUUGGGAAGCUUCUGAAAAAACAAUUCAUAAAGCCAAACACCAGCUCUAUGUACACCCCUCAUAGUGUUGCAUCAGUGAGGGGGGGGGAGGGGGGUGUUGCUGCUACAUGGCAGCAUGCAAAUUGGGAUAAGGAUCAGAAGAGACUAGGGGUGGAGCACAUUCGAACACAUUUGAAGAAUCCCAGACCGACCUCCACCCUCCAAGCUAGCCACAAUCUAUGCCAUCAAGUUGGGUUCCACUGAAAAACCAAAUCCAAGCUAACAGACGUCCGGUCUCUAUUUUUCAAACACAGUGUUUGCUUACUGCUGGUGCCUGCGACGUGCCACGGCAAUGUUAAUAAGCAAAAUCAGUCGGUACACAACGAUGGCCCACUGCCUCCCACCCAGCCUGCUCUUGUUUACAUCUGGGAGUUUCUCUCCAAAGCUAAAAAGACACAUUCCCAGUUACCAUGGCACUGUUUGAAUGCCCUGGCUAUGCAUCAAAACAGCACCUGGGAAAAGCGGAUGCACCACUACUAUCAUCCUCUCACUGUUUAAAGAAAACGUGGUGCCAAGGUCUUUUAAUUGUUAUUUUUCUAUGAUUGCAUUUUGUUUUAUAUUCAUGUGUGUCUCACCUGAAAAGCCAGCUUCUGUAUCUCCUUGAUACAUAGUCUCAGAUAUUCUCCCUCUCUGCAGUUCUCCAGCUAUUUAGACCUCUGCAAAAACUAACUCACUGAAAAACCUGGCUUGGUGACCACUUCCCAAACAAUAUUUCAAACUUAAUGGAGAUGAGGGUUCACAAGGGCUUAUGAAACCAUUUUAAUCAAAUAUCCAAUAUUAGCAUGGUCCAAAAUGUGUUUUUUUAUAUCACAAAUGCCUUCUGUUCUUUACAAAUCAUUGUCUUGGAUCUUGAGUAUGUGUGAUAGAUACCGUUGACGACUAACCUUCAAUGUGGACAGAAGUAUGAUCAAAAUGCAUUAUUAGUCCUAAAUUCACUAGUUUAUCUGGUGGUAUUGAAACUCACUCGCUGGACACUAAUAAUGUUUCCGGAAUGAUCCCUGGCAACCAUUGCAGAAAAGAUUGAUGCUUGAUGAUGAUACACCAUAUACACCCUAUAUCUAAUGGCAACUGCAUUUCAGUUCAGGAACUUUAGUCCCUGAAUUUUUCAAUUGUCAGCAAUUCACAAUGAACCUGAGCAUCUGAUGAAUAAUAAUAUGCUUUAGUUUUGGAGUAAUUAGCAUGUUUAGCCUGUUUUUUGGUACAGCACCCCCAAUUGGUCAAAUUUCACUAAACUUGGUGUGUGUCCCCCAGGUCUCAUGGUAAGCAUGUGUACCAAGUUUGAUGCCAAUAGGCAAAAUGGUUGCAGAUAUAUGGCCAUUCUUCCUUUAUGGCACCUUUGUUGCCAAAUUCAUCAUUAUAUUGCAACCAUAUUGUUUGACCACACCGCUACCUUUUACCAGAUCUUAAAGAAAAUGGUCCAUAGAUGUAAUACCCAAAAUUUCUGCUGGAUUGGGCAAUAGCUAUGGGAGGAGAUGUCUAAAUGGGUUUUUGACAAAAUUCAAGAUGGCUGAACAGCAAUUUGGCUAACACCAAGUUAUAUGAUUUGCCAGUUGAUCAUUAAUUGCAAUGCUCCACAACAAGUUUGGUUGAAAUAUCUGCUUUUGUUGCAGAAUAAUCAGCAUAUACAUUUAGUAUAGUGCCCCAAGAAAUUUAAUGCAACCUUGCAUACCCCUUAGGCUCCCUGGCAAAAAAGAAAAAAGGAUACCAAGUUUUGCAUCAAUACAAGAAAGCUUCGCAGAGAUAUGGCUGACUUCCUGUUUGGUACUUUCACCUUCAAAAUAGUUUGUUUACCACAGCUAUAUUGUUUGACCUAGCAACUAUCCUUUAAUACCUUUUGGUACAGUACUCUCAAGAUGAUGCCUGCCAAGUUUGAGGUGAUCCAUAAAGUGGUCUAGGAGAUGUCUUUUAAAUAGUUUUCAAAAACUUCUAAAUGGUAGAAAAUCUAAAAUGGCGCUGAACCAUUUUGGGAGAGAUAUGAUUGCUUGAAUAUCAGAAAUACAAAUGACAGUUAUAGUUCCACCAAUUAGCCAAUCAGUGAUAAAAUCACUCUGUGGUCAUACGGAUAUUCCCUCUAUGAGAGUGCAAAGUUCAUAGGUCUAGGUCUGAUUAGGUCCAAAAUGGGAACAGAUGAAAAUUGCUAACAGCAUUUCUCGAAAUGGCAGUGACAAAUAAGUACAGAUAUAUGUUCCUGAUGAGGAAAUCUCUCUCUCUUAUCUCUAUAUAAGUUUUCAAUUUCUUAAAGGCAACAAUAUAGUCUAACCUAGCAAUUUAUCUUUAAAUUCAAAAUGACCAAAAAUUCUAUAUGGAAAUUGACAGAGGUGGAUGUGUUCAACUCAACAGGACCUAAGAAUCACAAAGAAAAAGGAAUCAUGACUCUUGGCCAAACAGUUAAAAAGUCUAGCAUUAACAGCAAAAAAUCUAGCAUUAACUUUGACUGUGACACUAAAGAGUCAGUGGAACUAACCCUAAACUUUGUGACUGAGUACCUUAGCCUGUCCUCUAUCAAUGAAAAAUCCACAAAGCAGUUCUAUGGACUGACAUCAACACCUAUGGUAGAAACUAUAAUUAUAGUGGGAAAAUCUAGCAAUUACAAUAGGUGGCUUCGCAUCAUUGGUUCUUGGCUCCUAAUAACGAUAGUAUAAUAACAGCAACAUUAAAAGUUAUAAUUAUAGCUUUGGUCCUCGGGCAUAUGUAGGCGUUUUCUCUCAAUGUACACCGUUUGGCAAAUGAGCAAAAACAUUCAAACUGACUGUAAAGUUUAUCAGAUGCAACAGGUUUAUUGUUUAAAUAUUUAGUUUCUGAAGGAAGAGAUUAUUACUGUGCAAUUGAGUCUGCCAGAAGAGUUGAUUUGGUGAUGAUUCACUUUGUCAAACCACCUUUGUUCUGAUGCAUAGCCUUCAGAAAAGUGAAUAAGAUUGACCGGUAAAGCGGGCAUUGAUCAGUAGUAAUACUGGAUAUUCUAUUAAAACUGCCCAGGAAGUUUUGUGGUGGAAAGAGACAAUGUUUGGUAUCUUCUUCCGAGAAUGUCGCACAGAGGGGUUGCAAUGGAAAGCAAUCGACAAUGCACUCUUUCGCUGGCCAAAAAAUAAUUUCCUGAGCCUUGCAGUAGCUUACAAAUAUGCCACUGAGCAUUUUCCAUUUCUUUUAUACAUAAUCUUCAACACAAAAAUGUGGCCCACCAUGCUUUUCAUUACAUAGAAUGUUCCCUUUCUGAGAUGUUGCCUUAUUGUGGCCAUUUUUCAGAAUAGACUGAAUGAAAAAAAAAAGCAAAGCAUAUUGUACAGCAUUGAGGAAAAAAUGAAAGUAGGGUACUGGCAAGCACUGUAGAUGUUCCGAAUCAAAAUUAUGUGCACAGAAUACAAUACAAAUCCACUGCCCUUGGAUUACAUCAGCUCUAUGUCAGUUACGUGGCCGUCCUUCACUUCAGCCUGCAAUUAUCAGCAAAUU